UACAGAGAUGCUGUGAAUAUAAAUUUAUAUAAUGCAAAAGUAAGUUUAUUUCAUAUGCUAAUUUAGAGGCUUUCUUAAUAUGUUUAAUUAUAAAGAAAAAAAAAAAAGCGUUGCAAUUCUUGUUCACUGACCAAUGGCAAAGCAGACACUUUCUACUUCCGGUUGUGGCGGGAUAUUUGUGAAGUCAGCAAUGGCGGUCGAAAAGAAUGGUAAAGUCGCAAAGAAUACUGUUUGUUCGUGGAUUGGCGUUUGUGACUGAAUCCAUCGAUGUUACUAAUUAUUUGAAGAAAUCUGGGGAGUCAGCACCCUGCUGAAUUGUAGUAAACGAGACGUUCCAAUCUACUAGACCAUCAAAGAUGCAGAUUUGGAUUUUCUAUUUCAUAGUUAUUGAAAUCAUAAUGAGAAUGAAGUACUGCCACUAAGUCGUAUUGGAUAUGUUGCAAGGAGCUGUUUUCAAAACAUUGGGUGACAAAGAAUUCACUUUUACAAAAAUCGAGCA
RNAcentral lists this long non-coding RNA (499 nucleotides) under Stegodyphus dumicola. RNAcentral describes it as "uncharacterized LOC118189354". Lineage: Eukaryota; Metazoa; Arthropoda; Arachnida; Araneae; Eresidae. The record is from RNAcentral.